Molecule: ribosomal RNA, 492 nt
Filed under: uncultured bacterium
Lineage: Bacteria
Description: partial 16S ribosomal RNA
Rfam family: Bacterial small subunit ribosomal RNA
Source: RNAcentral
AGUGAACGCUGGCGGUAGGCCUAACACAUGCAAGUCGAACGGCAGCACAGUAAGAGCUUGCUCUUACGGGUGGCGAGUGGCGGACGAGUGAGGAAUACAUCGGAAUCUACUUUUUCGUGGGGGAUAACGUAGGGAAACUUACGCUAAUACCGCAUACGACCUACGGGUGAAAGCAGUGGAUCUUCGGACCUUUCGCGAUUGAAUGAGCCGAUGUCGGAUUAGCUAGUUGGCUGGGUAAAGGCCCACCAAGGCGACGAUCCGUAGCUGGUCUGAGAGGAUGAUCAGCCACACUGGAACUGAGACACGGUCCAGACUCCUACGGGAGGCAGCAGUGGGGAAUAUUCGACAAUGGGCGCAAGCCUGAUCCAGCCAUACCGCGUGGGUGAAGAAGGCCUUCGGGUUGUAAAGCCCUUUUGUUGGGAAAGAAAAGCAGCAGGUUAAUACCCCGCUGUUCUGACGGUACCCAAAGAAUAAGCAACGGCUAACUUCGUG